GUCGUUCCACUCCACUUCUUGGGCGCCGGGUCGAUAAAAAAGGAGGAAGUGAAUCACCCCGGGCUCGGGGUGCGGCAGUGUGGAGACCUGCCGUAAUGCGGCGCACCCGACGCGGUGACCGCGAGGACGUCCCAGGCGGAGGCCGGGCGUCCGGAGCCCAUACUAUGGCA
This 170-nucleotide non-coding RNA is filed under the name bovine gut metagenome. RNAcentral describes it as "malK-I RNA". It matches the Rfam family "malK-I RNA". The record is from RNAcentral.